RNAcentral lists this ribosomal RNA (467 nucleotides) under uncultured bacterium. RNAcentral describes it as "partial 16S ribosomal RNA". It matches the Rfam family "Bacterial small subunit ribosomal RNA", at positions 28 to 507 of the family's 1533-position model. The record is from RNAcentral.
GACGAACGCUGGCGGCGUGCUUAACACAUGCAAGUCGAACGAUGACGCCCGAGUUUGCUCGGUCUGAUUAGUGGCGAACGGGUGAGUAACCCGUGAUCAACCUUCCCUUCACUCUGGGAUAACCUCGGGAAAUCGGUGCUAAUACCCGAUAUGAGCUCCUGUCGCAUGGCGGGUGUUGUAAAGUUUUUUGGUGAAGGAUGGGCUCGCGGCCUAUCAGUUUGUUGGUGAGGUAGUGGCACACCAAGGCAAUGCCCGGUAGCCGACCUGGGAGGGCCACCGGCCAAACUAGGACGGAGACACGGCCCAGACUACAACGGGAGGCAACGGUGGAGAAUAGUACACAGUAGGCGAGAGCCUGGUGCGACGAAGCCGCGAGGGGGAAGACAGCCAUCGGGUUGUAAACCUAAGUCAGCAGAGAAGAAGCGAAAGUGACGGUACCUGCAGAAGAAGCGCCGGCUAACUACGUG